GCUGGGCGCGGUGGCACGUGCCUGUAGUCCCAGCUACUCGGGAGGCUGAGGUGGGAGGAUCACUUGAGCCCAGGAGUUCUGGGCUGAAAUGCGCUAUGCCGAUCGGGUGUCCACACUAAGUUCAGCAUCAAUAUGGUGACCUCCCAGGAGCAGGGGACCACCAGGUUGCCUAAGGAGGGGUGAGCCAGCCCAGGUCAGAAACAGAGCAGGUCAAACCUCCUGUGCUGAUCAGUAGUGGGAUCGCGCCUGUGAAUAGCCACUGUGCUCCAGCCUGGGCAACACAGUGAGACCCCCUCCCU
RNAcentral lists this signal recognition particle RNA (299 nucleotides) under Cebus imitator (Panamanian white-faced capuchin). RNAcentral's name for it is "Metazoan signal recognition particle RNA (ENSCCAG00000004433.1)". It matches the Rfam family "Metazoan signal recognition particle RNA". Rfam says of the family: The signal recognition particle (SRP) is a universally conserved ribonucleoprotein. It is involved in the co-translational targeting of proteins to membranes. Lineage: Eukaryota; Metazoa; Chordata; Mammalia; Primates; Cebidae. The record is from RNAcentral.